Molecule: ribosomal RNA, 292 nt
Filed under: uncultured bacterium
Lineage: Bacteria
Description: partial 16S ribosomal RNA
Rfam family: Bacterial small subunit ribosomal RNA
Source: RNAcentral
GUGUCAGCAGCCGCGGUAAUACGUAGGUCCCGAGCGUUGUCCGGAUUUACUGGGUGUAAAGGGUGCGCAGGCGGUCCUGUGCGUCAGAAGUGAAAUAUCACGGCUCAACCGUGAGGGUGCUUUUGAUACGGCAGGACUUGAGUACGAGAGAGGAUGAUAGAAUUCCUGGUGUAGCGGUGAAAUGCGUAGAUAUCAGGAGGAAUACCGGUGGCGAAGGCGGUCAUCUGGCUCGUAACUGACGCUCAGGCACGAAAGUGUGGGUAGCAAACAGGAUUAGAUACCCUGGUAGUCC